RNAcentral lists this ribosomal RNA (758 nucleotides) under Rufoplaca scotoplaca. Its description in RNAcentral is "LSU rRNA". It matches the Rfam family "Eukaryotic large subunit ribosomal RNA", at positions 169 to 944 of the family's 3401-position model. The record is from RNAcentral. Lineage: Eukaryota; Fungi; Ascomycota; Lecanoromycetes; Teloschistales; Teloschistaceae.
CGGGGAGCACCGGUCUAAGUUCCUUGGAACGGGGCGUCAUAGAGGGUGAGAAUCCCGUAUGCGACCGGUGACCAAGCCUAUGUGAAGCUCCUUCGACGAGUCGAGUUGUUUGGGAAUGCAGCUCAAAAUGGGUGGUAAAUUUCAUCUAAAGCUAAAUACCGGCCAGAGACCGAUAGCGCACAAGUAGAGUGAUCGAAAGAUGAAAAGCACUUGGAAAGAGAGUCAAAAAGUACGUGAAAUUGUUGAAAGGGAAGCGCUUGCAACCAGACCUGCCCGCGGGCGAUCAGCCGUCCUUUUGGGCGGUGUACUCGCCCGUGACCAGGCCAGCAUCGGUUCGGGCGGCCGGAUAAAGGCCUUGGGAACGUAGCUCCUCUCGGGGAGUGUUAUAGCCCUUGGUGCAAUGCGGCUCGCCGGGACCGAGGACCGCGCUUCGGCUAGGAUGCUGGCGUAAUGGUUGUAAGCGGCCCGUCUUGAAACACGGACCAAGGAGUCUAACAUCUAUGCGAGUGUUUGGGUGUCAAACCCAUGCGCGUAAUGAAAGUGAAUGGAGGUGGGAACCCUGAAGGGCGCACCAUCGACCGAUCCAGAUGUCCUCGGAUGGAUUUGAGUACGAGCAUAGCUGUUGGGACCCGAAAGAUGGUGAACUACGCCUGAAUAGGGUGAAGCCAGAGGAAACUCUGGUGGAGGCUCGCAGCGGUUCUGACGUGCAAAUCGAUCGUCAAAUUUGGGUAUAGGGGCGAAAGACUAAUCGAACCAUU